RNAcentral lists this ribosomal RNA (500 nucleotides) under uncultured bacterium. RNAcentral describes it as "bacterial SSU rRNA". It matches the Rfam family "Bacterial small subunit ribosomal RNA", at positions 65 to 561 of the family's 1533-position model. The record is from RNAcentral.
AGCUUGCUAUUUUUAUGAAGAGCGGCGAACGGGUGAGUAACGCGUGGGAAAUCUGCCGAGUAGCGGGGGACAACGUUUGGAAACGAACGCUAAUACCGCAUAACAAUGAGAAUCGCAUGAUUCUUAUUUAAAAGAAGCAAUUGCUUCACUACUUGAUGAUCCCGCGUUGUAUUAGCUAGUUGGUAGUGUAAAGGACUACCAAGGCGAUGAUACAUAGCCGACCUGAGAGGGUGAUCGGCCACACUGGGACUGAGACACGGCCCAGACUCCUACGGGAGGCAGCAGUAGGGAAUCUUCGGCAAUGGGGGCAACCCUGACCGAGCAACGCCGCGUGAGUGAAGAAGGUUUUCGGAUCGUAAAACUCUGUUGUUAGAGAAGAACGUUAAGUAGAGUGGAAAAUUACUUAAGUGACGGUAUCUAACCAGAAAGGGACGGCUAACUACGUGCCAGCAGCCGCGGUAAUACGUAGGUCCCAAGCGUUGUCCGGAUUUAUUGGGCGU